This 131-nucleotide transfer RNA is filed under the name Elusimicrobiota bacterium. RNAcentral describes it as "Elusimicrobia bacterium (groundwater metagenome) tRNA-OTHER". It matches the Rfam family "tRNA". From Rfam's summary of the family: Transfer RNA (tRNA) molecules are approximately 80 nucleotides in length. The record is from RNAcentral. Lineage: Bacteria; Pseudomonadati; Elusimicrobiota.
GGGCGUGUAGCUCAGCUGGGAGAGCGCUUCCUUCGCAAGGAAGAGGGAAGCGCUAAGGCGGCUGUCUGUUUAGCCGCCGACGCGAGUGAGCAAGGAAGAGGUCGAGGGUUCGAAUCCCUUCACGUCCACCA